Molecule: long non-coding RNA, 301 nt
Organism: Xiphophorus couchianus (Monterrey platyfish)
Lineage: Eukaryota; Metazoa; Chordata; Actinopteri; Cyprinodontiformes; Poeciliidae
Exons: 3
Source: RefSeq, a predicted model, not a curated record
AUAAAAGUCCAAACAGAAGACAGACGAUGACGACAAGCGUUCCUCCAACCAGAACCACCAGGAAAAAUGAAUGUUGCAAGAUAAAGUCAACAAGAGUCUGAAGUCCAAAGAAACCUACAGGUCCUGAUGAGGGACCAGACUAAGCGCAGCCUGAAAACCCCUUAUGGACUCAAACACAUCUGAAGUGAAAACCUGCCUCUGCUGGAGGUCACAGGUGCUGCGAUCCAGUAUCCCAGGUGAGGAGCGGUGAAGGUCCACAUCAGUUUCCCAUCUACCAGCGUCAUCUUUCCCAGUCCUCUCC